Non-coding RNA from Odocoileus virginianus texanus, 1278 nucleotides. The record is from RefSeq and is a predicted model, not a curated record. NCBI's taxonomy places the organism in Eukaryota, Metazoa, Chordata, Mammalia, Artiodactyla, Cervidae.
GGAAUUCUAAGCUCAAAUCUGAUCUGACAGGCUGUUAUAAAGCUAUAUUUAUCCAGGUAUAACUUGAAUUAAGCCUUGAAGAGUGGAUUCAACUAGACAAAGGAGAGGAAGAUGUACCAUCUAGCUGGGGGUGCAAACAGCAUGAGAAACAGUUCAGAGAAAACAUUGUUAAAAGCUGUAAUCUCCAAUUAGGAAACAAUCUCUCCAAGAGUUACUCGGAGUGGCCUUGUUAGAUGAACGAGAGGUGGUAGGACCAAGCCUCCUUCUGAAUGGGCCUACCCAGGAGAAAAGAGCCAAAAAGCAUGCAAGAAGUCCCCUGGGUCCUUUGGACUCUAAAGUGUCAACACUCAAGUUGGAAGAAAAACACUGGCAUAAACAUGAAUGAAAGUUUGAAAUGGUCUAGAAAAUACCAAAGGGACAAGCUAAUGACCGAGCAACCAAGGGAGUGUAAAGAAAUGCUGUCCUGUGGCUCCGAUGCCCAGGACCCACAGAGGGGCACCAUGCCCUGUCCGUCCUCGAGCCCUGGCACUGCUUCCUGAGCCCUCUCACUCUGCCAGGUGUAUGGUGGGGGUCUGUCAUCUUGGUACUGAGUCUCUUAGAGGGAACACCCACCACACAGACUGCAGCCACAUCGGAAGUGCAACUGAUAAAGGCUCAUGCUCAUCUGGACUGGGCCUGCUACCGCGCGGGGCUGGGACCUUGUUAAGAAAGGCAGAGGAAGAGGAGAAGCAGGAAAAAGAGGAGGCGGAGAUUCUGCUAACUGGGCUCUGCCUUGCCCAGAAGAAAGCUGACCUGUCUUCAGAAUCAGCCCAAGGGAAGUCCUUCCAGGUCCCCCUGCCCUAUGUCCUUAGGGACCAGCCACACUCUGGCCACCUCUUCAUUUCUUCUGAGGAAUAACCAUGUGGAAUCACACAAGAGGCAAAGCAAACACUUGGGGGGUUUUCCCCUUCUUUACUAGGGUUAAAAUAGCGUUGAUUCCAGGACACAGGUAGAUGGUCUCCAAAGCUCCAGAUAAUUCAGGUCACUAGGCAACCAUACUUUCUGGUGUUGGAAGAGGAAAGGCAGAAAGAGGUUCUGAAGAAAGGAGACUGCAGUGGAGAAAGAAAGAAGGAAGGGAAGGCAGAAAGAGAAAUGGAAGGAGAGGAAGGGGAAGGAGGGAAUUUGUGCAGUGUUGAGCGGGAAAGGUGGCCUUGGGAUUACCAGUCAGGGUUGCUGACCCUAAAACAGGGUUUGGGAACUUUCCUAGUGGUCCAGCUAAGACUCCACGCUCCCAAUACA